This 231-nucleotide long non-coding RNA is filed under the name Zostera marina. RNAcentral describes it as "long non-coding RNA (ZMAR_LNC002264)". Lineage: Eukaryota; Viridiplantae; Streptophyta; Magnoliopsida; Alismatales; Zosteraceae. The record is from RNAcentral.
AAGAGUUUAGUCGCAUUUCAUAUCUUUUCGAGGUUUCUAGUAUUUCUUUUAAAUCAUCCGGGUGAUCCUCUGCCUCCUUGGAUUUUAUUAAAAUGUCAUCUACGUAGGCCAUAACAUUUUUUGUCAAUGAGCCUCUGGAAGGUUGCUCCUGUGUUUCGUAGUCCGAAUAGCAUAACCUUGUAACAGAAUAUCUGCCAAUCCGUGACGAAUGAUGUGGCUUCUUCAUCUUCC